UAUUCGUAAAGGAAAUAAAGAAUCAAUUCAGGAGGCGUCGGGGAGAUAGUAGCAGAGGGUGUUUAGCGGCGGUGGCUGGUUGAGAAUUGAGGGUGUGGAGCUGCAGCCGGGAGGGGAAGGGGAGGAGAAUGGAGCGUCGAAGCCGUCGACGGCCUAGGCGGCUUAGGGGGUGGCUAGGUAGGGAGAUCGUCGUGUAGAGAGGGAGAGAGCACACUGGGGAGCACGGCGCCGGUUGCGGCCGGUUAAGGCGGUUGCGGGGGGUGACGCGUCGUCGGAGUGCUCGACGAGAGGCUGGGGAGGCAGGCGGUUCUACCGACCUAGGCGGCGAGGGCCAGUGGCCACGAGCGGGGCGUUGUGGAGCGGACACCGACCCCAAUGUCGGUACCGCAGCGCAUGUAGUGCCCGCACAGAGGCCACCGCUGAGAGGCAGCCUUUUUCACGGGGGAGUGCGGGAGAGGUGGAGAACCUACCGCGAGGGAUCGAGCCGCGCGAGCGUACGCAACCUGACCUGCGGCCGCUACGCAGGAGGAGACAGUGCAGAGGCCGCGUCGAUACGUGUACACCGCUGGAGGAGACGGAGCGCUUCGGCCACCGGUUGGAAGCGACGCUCGCGACGUAGCGGAUGUUUGGCUCGUCUUGUACCCACAAGACCUCGUCUACGACGAACCAUCUCGUUCGUGUCCGCGGUACUUUCCCCUUCUUAUUCUCAAGAACGUGUAUUGUACAAACUACUUUAUGUUCGUGGUCUUUAACUUGAGUAGAGGUUCGAUACGAAAUACUCUCCGAUUCUGACAAUGUAAUAAAACAGGUCAGGUACUACGUUCUAAGUAAGUAAACACUAACAACGUUAUUGCUAAUAACCGGUUUUCGUACCAACACACACCAAGGACGACGACAUGACACCAUAACCAAAAGAAGGCGGACGGACUACACCACUACGAAACCACACGGAUAACAAGCGUCUCUAAUUGGUUAUAAACCCUCUACACCACCGAGUGGGCUAGCCUUUGUAUUGUUCUACUUCCUCGAAUUCAUAUCGGUGUAGUCCCGCUGGACCCUCGUUCCUUCAAAUACACACUAUCCUCUACUAGCGGUAUUAGACCCACGAUUUCCGGAAACCUUUGUCUUGUUCUACUUCCUCGAAUUCAUGUCGGUGUAGUCCCGCUGGACCCUCGUUCCUUAAAAUGGACACUAUCCUCUACUAGCGGUAUUAGACCCACGGUUUCCGGAUCCCCUAAUAUUGUACCAAAAAAAUAUCUUUCCUGCGAGUACGGCAUCGAAUGUCAUGGUCCGUUGUUAGAAGACAACUAAUGUCACGGUUUUUGAGGUCGUCCGGUGUCCUGAGGAUGCGGCGACCACGGACAGUUGCAGCGACGGCUACGGGACGUAGGCUAACCGACGGUUCCUUAGGUGGUUGGGCAGGGUUAUGUGCACACAUAGGGUGUAGUACUCGAGGAGCUUCCACUCGUCGACCGGGUCGGAGCGGUACAUUGUGUGCCAGAACCAUCACCUCUACAACAGUAACAGUAACGCCAGCUUCCACACCUCGUAUCCCGCACUCGUGGUCGUACUACCACACGCGGUCGAGCAGCUUGAGCCUCCGGGCGACUGUAAACGUAGCUACCGGUCGUCGUCUUCCUGAGGAGUGGGCCGCCAGCGUUCGAAUACCCCCACCUCACCCCGUAGCUCGAACUCUAGAGGACCGAGAACAGUGCAGUAGUGACUGAGUCUGGUCUUCUCAAGACAACACAAGCCGCAGUGCGGGAGGUGUCGGACGCUACCACUAGUGCUACGGGGACGUCUUGCUGCGCGGCUGCGGACAGCGACGGGACGUAGGACGAGGCGCGACACUGGUCACGACGGUGGGACGAGACGCAACACGGGAGCUAUCCGCGGUAGGAACCUGCGGUAGAGAAGGUUGGAGAAGAAGGGAAGGCCUAACUAUGAUCGCGGGUCGAAGUUUUUACUAGGCACAACAACCGUGGUAAGGUUUGACUUUAGUUAAUGUAUGAGUUCCGUCAAGAUCUACAGACGUUCAAACACUAGGCGUUUAUAAUAUCAGUUUUCCUAAAGUUAACACUAUCCGGCAUCGAAGUGAAAUGUACGAGUCCGAAACAUCGACCUAGUCCACUUAGACAAAACAGCACACUUAUGGUCAUUUCACUUUGUCUUCGUCGUGUGUCCGCGCAGAAGAACGAAAAAAAUGAACGACAUCGACCUAGUAAUCGAACUUGCGUGUCGUUAGAUCGGAUAAGGACAGGGGGUACUAUAGAGAAGAAUUAAACCAUCUAGUACAAAAACGUUCUACUGUCGUGGUAUACACAUCGACCUAGUAAUCGAACUUACGUUUCGUUAGAUCGGAUAAGAAAAGGGGGUACUAUAGAGAAGAAUUAAACCAUCUAGUACAAAAACGUUCUACUGUCGUGGUAUACACAUCAACGACUGACACAAAUAUAGCGUUUUUAUAAUACCAAAGUUC
This 2479-nucleotide ribosomal RNA is filed under the name Triticum aestivum (bread wheat). Its description in RNAcentral is "partial small subunit ribosomal RNA". The record is from RNAcentral. Lineage: Eukaryota; Viridiplantae; Streptophyta; Magnoliopsida; Poales; Poaceae.